Molecule: long non-coding RNA, 694 nt
Filed under: Citrus sinensis (sweet orange)
Lineage: Eukaryota; Viridiplantae; Streptophyta; Magnoliopsida; Sapindales; Rutaceae
Description: long non-coding RNA (CSIN_LNC004290)
Source: RNAcentral
GAUAAGUCUAAAUUUGGAACACCACAAGAAUGUAAAUUCUUGAUAAGUUCACUAGUUCUCAAAAGAACCAAAGAAAGAAUAAUCUUUCAAAUUCAAAAUAACAUUCAUCUCCUUAUAUACCAAGGUUGCUGAAUUUAAAUAGGCUAAAAGGAACCCAAGAUCCUAAAAAUACAAAUGGAAACAUUGGAACAACCCUCCAAGUAGGUUUGUCAAAAGAUGUUUCAAAAGUCUUCACCAACCCACCAUGAUCAAUGCUAUCUUUGACAAACUUAAUGCUAGCCUACUAUAAUUAAUGCUAUCAUUGACAAACUUGAAACAAAACAAACAAAUAAGUUGAAAAACAAAAGAUUCGUUGAAAAUCCCAAGUCUGAACACGCUGUAAAGAAUUGGUCAUAACUCCUUCUAGAGAACUCCAAAUCCAGCUCUGUAAAAUUUAUUGGAAAGCUAACUUAAUUAUCUUUCCAACGGUAUAUAGCUUGCAUUUUAAUUCUGGGUCAAUCAAUACAGUUUUUAUUCCGAAUUUGACCUUUCUGCAUUUGAUACAAAUUGUGUAUUUGGCUACCCAAUAACUUGAAUAAUGCCCACAAUGCCUUGUCUUCUCUUCAAGCCCAAUUCAUGAUGUCUUGCAUCUUGAAUUGCAUUUUCAAUCCAUAUUUUCUCAAUUAAUCCAUUUAAAGCAGCUUGCAUCUUUUUG